Molecule: ribosomal RNA, 688 nt
Filed under: Streptomyces sp. FXJ1.130
Lineage: Bacteria; Bacillati; Actinomycetota; Actinomycetes; Kitasatosporales; Streptomycetaceae
Description: bacterial SSU rRNA
Rfam family: Bacterial small subunit ribosomal RNA
Source: RNAcentral
UGCAGUCGACGAUGAACCACUUCGGUGGGGAUUAGUGGCGAACGGGUGAGUAACACGUGGGCAAUCUGCCCUGCACUCUGGGACAAGCCCUGGAAACGGGGUCUAAUACCGGAUACGAGCCUCCUCCGCAUGGUGGGGGUUGGAAAGCUCCGGCGGUGCAGGAUGAGCCCGCGGCCUAUCAGCUUGUUGGUGAGGUAACGGCUCACCAAGGCGACGACGGGUAGCCGGCCUGAGAGGGCGACCGGCCACACUGGGACUGAGACACGGCCCAGACUCCUACGGGAGGCAGCAGUGGGGAAUAUUGCACAAUGGGCGAAAGCCUGAUGCAGCGACGCCGCGUGAGGGAUGAAGGCCUUCGGGUUGUAAACCUCUUUCAGCAGGGAAGAAGCGAAAGUGACGGUACCUGCAGAAGAAGCGCCGGCUAACUACGUGCCAGCAGCCGCGGUAAUACGUAGGGCGCAAGCGUUGUCCGGAAUUAUUGGGCGUAAAGAGCUCGUAGGCGGCUUGUCGCGUCGGUUGUGAAAGCCCGGGGCUUAACCCCGGGUCUGCAGUCGAUACGGGCAGGCUAGAGUUCGGUAGGGGAGAUCGGAAUUCCUGGUGUAGCGGUGAAAUGCGCAGAUAUCAGGAGGAACACCGGUGGCGAAGGCGGAUCUCUGGGCCGAUACUGACGCUGAGGAGCGAAAGCGUG